AUGAACGCUGGCGGCGUGCCUAAUACAUGCCAGUCGAGCGCACAGAUGAGGAGCUUGCUCCUCUGACGUUAGCGGCGGACGGGUGAGUAACACGUGGAUAACCUACCUAUAAGACUGGGAUAACUUCGGGAAACCGGAGCUAAUACCGGAUAAUAUAUUGAACCGCAUGGUUCAAUAGUGAAAGACGGUUUUGCUGUCACUUAUAGAUGGAUCCGCGCCGCAUUAGCUAGUUGGUAAGGUAACGGCUUACCAAGGCAACGAUGCGUAGCCGACCUGAGAGGGUGAUCGGCCACACUGGAACUGAGACACGGUCCAGACUCCUACGGGAGGCAGCAGUAGGGAAUCUUCCGCAAUGGGCGAAAGCUUGACGGAGCAACGCCGCGUGAGUGAUGAAGGUCUUCGGAUCGUAAAACUCUGUUAUUAGGGAAGAACAAAUGUGUAAGUAACUAUGCACGUCUUGACGGUACCUAAUCAGAAAGCCACGGCUAACUACGUG
RNAcentral lists this ribosomal RNA (496 nucleotides) under uncultured bacterium. RNAcentral describes it as "partial 16S ribosomal RNA". It matches the Rfam family "Bacterial small subunit ribosomal RNA", at positions 29 to 507 of the family's 1533-position model. The record is from RNAcentral.